Molecule: ribosomal RNA, 396 nt
Filed under: uncultured bacterium
Lineage: Bacteria
Description: bacterial SSU rRNA
Rfam family: Bacterial small subunit ribosomal RNA
Source: RNAcentral
GUGUCAGCCGCCGCGGUAAUACGAGAGGUGCAAACGUUAUUCGGAUUUACUGGGCGUAAAGGGUGUGUAGGCGGCAUGUUGUGUCUGUUGUUAAAGACUCCGGCUUACCCGGAGAAGUGCAGCGGAAACUAACGUGCUAGAGGAUGGAAGAGAGGAGUGGAAUUCCCGGAGUAGCGGUAAAAUGCGUAGAUCUCGGGAGGAACACCAAUGGCGAAGGCAGCUCCUUGGUCCAUACCUGACGCUGAGACACGAAAGCGUGGGGAGCAAACAGGAUUAGAUACCCUGGUAGUCCACGCUGUAAACGAUAAUCACUAGACGUCAGCUGAGCGUAGCUUAGUUGGUGUCGAAGCUAACGCGUUAAGUGAUUCGCCUGGGGAGUACGGUCGCAAGACUAAA